Molecule: transfer RNA, 75 nt
Filed under: Vibrio anguillarum
Lineage: Bacteria; Pseudomonadati; Pseudomonadota; Gammaproteobacteria; Vibrionales; Vibrionaceae
Also listed under: 2 other names
Description: tRNA-OTHER
Rfam family: tRNA
About the family: Transfer RNA (tRNA) molecules are approximately 80 nucleotides in length. Their secondary structure includes four short double-helical elements and three loops (D, anti-codon, and T loops).
Source: RNAcentral
GCGUCUGUAGCUCAGCAAGGUAGAGCGCCUAUCGAUUUAGAUAGGAGGUCGCUGGUUCGAUUCCAGCCAGACAAA